UACGGAGGGGGCUAGCGUUGUUCGGAAUUACUGGGCGUAAAGCGCACGUAGGCGGAUCAGAAAGUCGGAGGUGAAAUCCCAGGGCUCAACCUUGGAACUGCCUUUGAAACUCCUGAUCUUGAGGUCGAGAGAGGGGAGUGGAAUUCCGAGUGUAGAGGUGAAAUUCGUAGAUAUUCGGAGGAACACCAGUGGCGAAGGCGGCCUACUGGCUCGAUACUGACGCUGAGGUGCGAAAGCGUGGGGAGCAAACAGG
RNAcentral lists this ribosomal RNA (253 nucleotides) under uncultured bacterium. RNAcentral's name for it is "partial 16S ribosomal RNA". It matches the Rfam family "Bacterial small subunit ribosomal RNA", at positions 524 to 776 of the family's 1533-position model. The record is from RNAcentral.